This 249-nucleotide ribosomal RNA is filed under the name uncultured bacterium. RNAcentral's name for it is "partial 16S ribosomal RNA". It matches the Rfam family "Bacterial small subunit ribosomal RNA", at positions 109 to 353 of the family's 1533-position model. The record is from RNAcentral.
AGUAACGCGUGAGUAACCUGCCUUUCAGAGGGGGAUAACGUUCUGAAAAGAACGCUAAUACCGCAUGAGACUACAGAGCUGCAUGGCUCAGUGGUCAAAAGGAGCAAUCCGCUGAAAGAUGGACUCGCGUCCGAUUAGAUAGUAGGCGGGGUAACGGCCCACCUAGUCGACGAUCGGUAGCCGGACUGAGAGGUUGAACGGCCACAUUGGGACUGAGACACGGCCCAGACUCCUACGGGAGGCAGCAUG